CCAGACUCCUACGGGAGGCAGCAGUGGGGAAUAUUGCACAAUGGGGGAAACCCUGAUGCAGCGACGCCGCGUGAAGGAUGAAGUAUUUCGGUAUGUAAACUUCUAUCAGCAGGGAAGAAAAUGACGGUACCUGACUAAGAAGCCCCGGCUGACUACGUGCCAGCAGCCGCGGUAAUACGUAGGGGGCAAGCGUUAUCCGGAUUUACUGGGUGUAAAGGGAGCGUAGACGGUAUGGCAAGUCUGAUGUGAAAACCCGGGGCUCAACCCCGGGACUGCAUUGGAAACUGUCGGACUAGAGUGUCGGAGAGGCAAGUGGAAUUCCUAGUGUAGCGGUGAAAUGCGUAGAUAUUAGGAGGAACACCAGUGGCGAAGGCGGUCUGCUGGACAGCAACUGACGGUGAGGCGCGAAAGCGUGGGGAGCAAACAGGAUUAGAUACCCCAGUAU
Molecule: ribosomal RNA, 445 nt
Filed under: uncultured bacterium
Lineage: Bacteria
Description: partial 16S ribosomal RNA
Rfam family: Bacterial small subunit ribosomal RNA
Source: RNAcentral